This 922-nucleotide ribosomal RNA is filed under the name uncultured bacterium. RNAcentral's name for it is "bacterial SSU rRNA". It matches the Rfam family "Bacterial small subunit ribosomal RNA", at positions 1 to 915 of the family's 1533-position model. The record is from RNAcentral.
GGAUCCAGACUUUGAUUCUGGCUCAGGAUGAACGCUGGCGGCGUGCUUAACACAUGCAAGUCGAACGAAGCGCUUUUACWGAUUUCUUCCGAAUGAAAUUUUAUUGACUGAGUGGGGGACAGGUGAGUAACGCGUGGGUAACCUGCCCUCACACAGGGGGAUAACAGUUGGAAACGGCUGCUAAUACCGCAUAAACGCACAGUACCGCACGGUACAGUGUGAAAAACUCCGGUGGUGUGAGAUGGACCCCCGUCUGAUUAUCUAGUUGGCAGGGUAACGGCCUACCAAGGCGACGAUCAGUAUCCGACCUGAGAGGGUGACCGGCCCACAUUGGGACUGAGACACGGCCCAAACUCCUACGGGAGGCAGCACUGGGGAAUAUUGCACAAUGGGGGAAACCCUGAUGCACCGACACCCCGUGAGCGAAAAAAUAUUUCGGUAUGUAAAGCUCUAUCACCACGGAAGAAAAAAUGACGGUACCUGAUUAAGAAGCCCCGGCUAAAUACGUGCCAGCAGCCGCGGUAAUACGUAUGGUGCAAGCGUUAUCCGGAUUUACUGGGUGUAAAGGGAGCGCAGGCGGGUAGGCUAAGUCUGAUGUGAAAGCCCGGGGCUCAACCCCGGUACUGCAUUGGAAACUGGCCAACCUAGAGUGUGGGAGGGGUAAGUGGAAUUCCUAGUGUAGCGGUGAAAUGGGUAGAUAUUAGGAGGAACACCAGUGGGGAAGGCGGCUUACUGGUACGGAUUACUGACGUUGAGGCUGGAAAGCGUGGGGAGCAAACAGGAUUAGAUACCCUGGGUAGUCCACGCCGUAAACGAUGAAUAUUAGGUGUCGGGAGGCAUUGCCUUUCGGUGCCGCAGCAAACGCAUUAAGUAUUCCACCUGGGGAGUACGUUCGCAAGAAUGAAACUCAAAGGAAUUGACG